GAUGGGCACAUGAGGAAUCUUCCUGAAAUGGGUAAUUUGCGUCUGAAUUUCAGUGAUGCCAUAUAACCUUGGAGAUCUGAUGCCCCUU
Small nucleolar RNA from Nymphaea colorata (pocket water lily), 88 nucleotides. NCBI's taxonomy places the organism in Eukaryota, Viridiplantae, Streptophyta, Magnoliopsida, Nymphaeales, Nymphaeaceae. The record is from RefSeq and is a predicted model, not a curated record.